CCUACGGGUGGCUGCAGUCGAGAAUCAUUCACAAUGGGGGAAACCCUGAUGGUGCGACGCCGCGUGGGGGAAUGAAGGUCUUCGGAUUGUAAACCCCUGUCAUGUGGGAGCAAAUUAAAAAGAUAGUACCACAAGAGGAAGAGACGGCUAACUCUGUGCCAGCAGCCGCGGUAAUACAGAGGUCUCAAGCGUUGUUCGGAAUCACUGGGCGUAAGGCGUGCGUAGGCUGUUUCGUAAGUCGUGUGUGAAAGGCGCGGGCUCAACCCGCGGACGGCACAUGAUACUGCGAGACUCGAGUAAUGGAGGGGGAACCGGAAUUCUCGGUGUAGCAGUGAAAUGCGUAGAUAUCGAGAGGAACACUCGUGGCGAAGGCGGGUUCCUGGACAUUAACUGACGCUGAGGCACGAAGGCCAGGGGAGCGAAAGGGAUUAGAUACCCCAGUAGUC
RNAcentral lists this ribosomal RNA (446 nucleotides) under uncultured bacterium. RNAcentral's name for it is "partial 16S ribosomal RNA". It matches the Rfam family "Bacterial small subunit ribosomal RNA", at positions 338 to 795 of the family's 1533-position model. The record is from RNAcentral.